GGCCCGUUGGUCAAGCGGCUAAGACACGGCCCUUUCACGGCUGAGACAGGGGUUCGAUUCCCCUACGGGUCACCA
RNAcentral lists this transfer RNA (75 nucleotides) under Candidatus Galloscillospira excrementipullorum. RNAcentral's name for it is "tRNA-Glu". It matches the Rfam family "tRNA". From Rfam's summary of the family: Transfer RNA (tRNA) molecules are approximately 80 nucleotides in length. Their secondary structure includes four short double-helical elements and three loops (D, anti-codon, and T loops). The record is from RNAcentral. Lineage: Bacteria; Bacillati; Bacillota; Clostridia; Eubacteriales; Oscillospiraceae.